GGUGAACGCUGGCGGCGUGCCUAACACAUGCAAGUCGAACGGAAAGGCCCUGAUUUUGUGGGGUUCCCGAUUGCCGAAGGCGUGAGGAACACGUGUGUAACCUGCCCUUGUUUUUCGGGUAAGAUAAGGAAACUGGGGUUAAGAUCGGAUAGGAUCUGCUGUAGCAUGGUGGGCGGUGGAAAGUCUCGGCUGUUGGGGAUGGACUCGCGGCUUAUCGGCUUGUUGGUGGGGUAGGGGCUGACCAAGGCUUUGACGGGUAGCCGGCCUGAGAGCGUGGCCGGCCACAUGGGGCCUGAGGUACGGCCCAGACUCCUACGGGAGGCAACAGUGGGAAAUAUUGCACAGUGAGCGGGAGCGUGAGACGACGACGCCGCGUGCGUGAUGACGGGUUUUGGGUUGAGAACCGCUGUAGCCUGUGACGAAGCGGGAGUGACGGUAAUGAAUAAAGAAGCACCGGCUAACUACGUG
This 468-nucleotide ribosomal RNA is filed under the name uncultured bacterium. RNAcentral's name for it is "partial 16S ribosomal RNA". It matches the Rfam family "Bacterial small subunit ribosomal RNA", at positions 28 to 507 of the family's 1533-position model. The record is from RNAcentral.